Molecule: non-coding RNA, 686 nt
Organism: Chiloscyllium plagiosum (whitespotted bambooshark)
Lineage: Eukaryota; Metazoa; Chordata; Chondrichthyes; Orectolobiformes; Hemiscylliidae
Source: RefSeq, a predicted model, not a curated record
UUACUGUAUAAGUGAUGAGUUCGGUCAUUUUUAGAAAUUAAUUUGUGAAGGAUUGUUAAAAUGACCAUUUCUUAUGAGCUAAAGUCUUGAUCAUUUUGUACAUUUGUAUUAAGAGUGAGACUACAGGAACGGUUAUCCUGGUAUAUCUCUGUAUCUUUGUUUUCUAGGGUUUCCUGGGCUUCUGAAAAACAAGAGUUGGUUCCGCCUCUGAUUCCAGCAUUUGUUGCUCCUGAUCCCCCACAGCACUCUGAGCACCCUAAGCUAUUGUUUGAUGCUGUAGUUUUCCAGAAUCAGCUUCCACAGACUCCAAUAAGUGUUCCCUCGAUUUAUGAAAAGGAAGAGUCAGUUUCGCUUCAGCCAAUUGCACCUGUUGCUUCUCAUCCUCCACGAGACGUACAGUGUACUAAACCAUCAGAUGAUGCUGAAGAUUUCCAGAGUCGUCUUGAACAGACUCCAUUAAGUGUAUCAUUACUUAGUGAAAAGCAAAAAGAUUUCCCACAUCCGCUGUUUGCAGUUACUCCUCACAUUGUUUCUGCUGAGACUGUACAAGAAUCCUCUGAGCAAAUUGCUAACAGUACUACUGUACCUCCUUGCCUCAAAGAUACAGACAGUUCUGCUCUACUGUUGGGUUUUCCUUCUGUCUUGAAAGAUGAUGAACUCCUUCAGGAUGCUGCUGAACAGUCCAU